AACCCAUGGUGAGGGCACCUUCUUAGUAAGUCUUUGUAUCUCUCCUAUGCAUCGUAAAGUGUUUCUAAAUCCAUUGCACAAAAGAAGAGAUAUCAUUAUGCAAUU
This 105-nucleotide small nucleolar RNA is filed under the name Gossypium arboreum. RNAcentral describes it as "Plant small nucleolar RNA R71". It matches the Rfam family "Plant small nucleolar RNA R71". Rfam says of the family: R71 is a member of the C/D box family of snoRNAs containing the C (UGAUGA) and D (CUGA) box motifs. Multiple nearly identical copies of this snoRNA have been identified in Arabidopsis, and it is thought to function as a 2'-O-ribose methylation guide for 18S ribosomal RNA. Lineage: Eukaryota; Viridiplantae; Streptophyta; Magnoliopsida; Malvales; Malvaceae. The record is from Rfam by way of RNAcentral.